UCUAAUCACACUGAACGGCGGAAGGUCCUU
This 30-nucleotide non-coding RNA is filed under the name Homo sapiens (human). Lineage: Eukaryota; Metazoa; Chordata; Mammalia; Primates; Hominidae. The record is from RNAcentral.